This 301-nucleotide ribosomal RNA is filed under the name uncultured bacterium. Its description in RNAcentral is "partial 16S ribosomal RNA". It matches the Rfam family "Bacterial small subunit ribosomal RNA", at positions 509 to 807 of the family's 1533-position model. The record is from RNAcentral.
CAGUCGCCACGGGAAUACCGAGGGUGCAAGCGUUAAUCGGAAUUACUGGGCGUAAAGCGCGCGUAGGUGGUUUGUUAAGUUGGAUGUGAAAUCCCCGGGCUCAACCUGGGAACUGCAUCCAAAACUGGCAAGCUAGAGUAUGGUAGAGGGUGGUGGAAUUUCCUGUGUAGCGGUGAAAUGCGUAGAUAUAGGAAGGAACACCAGUGGCGAAGGCGACCACCUGGACUGAUACUGACACUGAGGUGCGAAAGCGUGGGGAGCAAACAGGAUUAGAUACCCCUGUAGUCCCUGUCUCUUAUAC